CGCUGGCGGCGUGCCUAAUACAUGCAAGUAGAACGCUGAAGAGAGGAGCUUGCUCUUCUUGGAUGAGUUGCGAACGGGUGAGUAACGCGUAGGUAACCUGCCUUGUAGCGGGGGAUAACUAUUGGAAACGAUAGCUAAUACCGCAUAACAAUGGAUGACACAUGUCAUUUAUUUGAAAGGGGCAAUUGCUCCACUACAAGAUGGACCUGCGUUGUAUUAGCUAGUAGGUGAGGUAAUGGCUCACCUAGGCGACGAUACAUAGCCGACCUGAGAGGGUGAUCGGCCACACUGGGACUGAGACACGGCCCAGACUCCUACGGGAGGCAGCAGUAGGGAAUCUUCGGCAAUGGGGGCAACCCUGACCGAGCAACGCCGCGUGAGUGAAGAAGGUUUUCGGAUCGUAAAGCUCUGUUGUAAGUCAAGAACGGGUGUGAGAGUGGAAAGUUCACACUGUGACGGUAGCUUACCAGAAAGGGACGGCUAACUACGUGCCAGCAGCCGCGGUAAUACGUAGGUCCCGAGCGUUGUCCGGAUUUAUUGGGCGUAAAGCGAGCGCAGGCGGUUUGAUAAGUCUGAAGUUAAAGGCUGUGGCUCAACCAUAGUUCGCUUUGGAAACUGUCAAACUUGAGUGCAGAAGGGGAGAGUGGAAUUCCAUGUGUAGCGGUGAAAUGCGUAGAUAUAUGGAGGAACACCGGUGGCGAAAGCGGCUCUCUGGUCUGUAACUGACGCUGAGGCUCGAAAGCGUGGGGAGCGAACAGGAUUAGAUACCCUGGUAGUCCACGCCGUAAACGAUGAGUGCUAGGUGUUGGAUCCUUUCCGGGAUUCAGUGCCGCAGCUAACGCAUUAAGCACUCCGCCUGGGGAGUACGACCGCAAGGUUGAAACUCAAAGGAAUUGACGGGGGCCCGCACAAGCGGUGGAGCAUGUGGUUUAAUUCGAAGCAACGCGAAGAACCUUACCAGGUCUUGACAUCCCGAUGCUAUUUCUAGAGAUAGAAAGUUACUUCGGUACAUCGGUGACAGGUGGUGCAUGGUUGUCGUCAGCUCGUGUCGUGAGAUGUUGGGUUAAGUCCCGCAACGAGCGCAACCCCUAUUGUUAGUUGCCAUCAUUCAGUUGGGCACUCUAGCGAGACUGCCGGUAAUAAACCGGAGGAAGGUGGGGAUGACGUCAAAUCAUCAUGCCCCUUAUGACCUGGGCUACACACGUGCUACAAUGGUUGGUACAACGAGUUGCGAGUCGGUGACGGCGAGCUAAUCUCUUAAAGCCAAUCUCAGUUCGGAUUGUAGGCUGCAACUCGCCUACAUGAAGUCGGAAUCGCUAGUAAUCGCGGAUCAGCACGCCGCGGUGAAUACGUUCCCGGGCCUUGUACACACCGCCCGUCACACCACGAGAGUUUGUAACACUCGAAGUCGGUGAGGUAACCUUUUGGAGCCAGCCGCCUAAGGUGGGACAGAUGAUUGGGGUGA
Molecule: ribosomal RNA, 1465 nt
Filed under: uncultured organism
Description: SSU rRNA
Rfam family: Bacterial small subunit ribosomal RNA
Source: RNAcentral